AUACGGAGGAUCCGAGCGUUAUCCGGAUUUAUUGGGUUUAAAGGGUGCGCAGGCGGCCAUUUAAGUCAGCGGUUAAAUCGUGGGGCUCAACCCCAUUCUGCCGUUGAUACUGGGUGGCUUGAUUGCGGUCGAGGUUGGCGGAAUUCGUUAUGUAGAGGUGAAAUGCAUAGAUAUGACGAAGAACACCGAUUGCGUAGGCAGCUGACCAGACCGCAAAUGACGCUCAUGCACGAAAGUGCGGGGAUCGAACAGGAUUAGAUACCCUGGUAGUCCGCACAGUAAACGAUGAACACUUGUUUUCGGCGAUAUAAUGUCGGAGGCAAAGCGAAAGCGAUAAGUAUUCCACCUGGGGAGUACGCCGGCAACGGUGAAACUCAAAUGAAUUGACGGGG
This 392-nucleotide ribosomal RNA is filed under the name uncultured bacterium. RNAcentral's name for it is "partial 16S ribosomal RNA". It matches the Rfam family "Bacterial small subunit ribosomal RNA", at positions 523 to 918 of the family's 1533-position model. The record is from RNAcentral.